RNAcentral lists this ribosomal RNA (173 nucleotides) under Xanthomonas citri pv. citri. RNAcentral's name for it is "partial 16S ribosomal RNA". It matches the Rfam family "Bacterial small subunit ribosomal RNA", at positions 1 to 154 of the family's 1533-position model. Lineage: Bacteria; Pseudomonadati; Pseudomonadota; Gammaproteobacteria; Lysobacterales; Lysobacteraceae. The record is from RNAcentral.
UUUUAGAGAGUUUGAUCCUGGCUCAGGAUGAACGCUGGCGGCGUGCCUAACACAUGCAAGUCGAACGAAGCACUCUAUUUGAUUUUCUUCGGAAAUGAAGAUUUUGUGACUGAGUGGCGGACGGGUGAGUAACGCGUGGGUAACCUGCCUCAUACAGGGGGAUAACAGUUGGA